GAACGCUGGCGGUAUGCUUAACACAUGCAAGUCGAACGGUAGAAUUCUAGCUUGCUAGGAUUUGAGAGUGGCGGACGGGUGAGUAACGCGUAGGAAUCUGUCUAUUAGUCUGGGACAACUCGGGGAAACUCGAGCUAAUACUAGAUAAGUUCUAAGGAAGAAAGGCUGGAGCUUGCUCCAGUCGCUAAUGGGUGAGCCUGCGUUGGAUUAGCUUGUUGGUGGGGUAAAGGCCUACCAAGGCGACGAUCCAUAGCUGUUCUGAGAGGAAGAUCAGCCACACUGGGACUGAGACACGGCCCAGACUCCUACGGGAGGCAGCAGUGGGGAAUAUUGGACAAUGGGGGCAACCCUGAUCCAGCAAUACCGCGUGUGUGAAGAAGGCCUGAGGGUUGUAAAGCACUUUCAGCGAGGAGGAAGGCUACUAUGUUAAUAGCAUAGUGGAUUGACGUUACUCGCAGAAGAAGCACCGGCUAACUCUGUG
RNAcentral lists this ribosomal RNA (481 nucleotides) under uncultured bacterium. RNAcentral describes it as "bacterial SSU rRNA". It matches the Rfam family "Bacterial small subunit ribosomal RNA", at positions 31 to 507 of the family's 1533-position model. The record is from RNAcentral.